GCGCAGGCAGGCGGUCGUCAAGUCGGAAUGUGAAAUCCGGGCUCACCUGGGACCUGCAUCAGAAACUGGCAGGCUGGAGUCUGCUAGAGGGGGGGUAGAUUCCAGGUGUAGCGGUGAAAUGCGUAGAGAUCGGGAGGACAUACCGGUGGCGAGGCAGCCCCUUGGACAAAGACUGACGCUCAGGUGCGAAAGCGUGGGGGAGCAAACAGGAUAAGAUACCCUUGGUAGUCCACGCGGUAAACGAUGUCGAUUUGGAGGUGGUGCCCUUGGAGGCGUGGCGUCGGGAGCUAACGCGUUAAUUCGACCGCCUGGGGAGUACGCCCGCAAGGUUAAAACUCAAAUGAAUUGACGGGGGCCCGCACAAGCGGUGGAGCAUGUGGUUUAUUUCGAUGCAACGCGAAGAACCUUACCUGCUCUUGACAUCCACAGAACUUUCCAGAGAUGGAUUGGUGCCUUCGGGAAUUGUGAGACAGGUGCUGCAUGGCGGUCGUCAGCUCGUGUUGUGAAAUGUUGGGUUAAGUCCCGCAACGAGCGCAACCCUUAUCCUUUGUUGCCAGCGGUUAGGCCGGGAACUCAAAGGAGACUGCCAGUGAUAAACUGGAGGAAGGUGGGGAUGACGUCAAGUCAUCAUGGCCCUUACGACCAGGGCUACACACGUGCUACAAUGGCGCAUACAAAGAGAAGCGACCUCGCGAGAGCAAGCGGACCUCAUAAAAUGCGUCGUAGUCCGGAUUGGAGUCUGCAACUCGACUCCAUGAAGUCGGAAUCGCUAGUAAUCGUAGAUCAGAAUGUCUACGGUGAAUACGUUCCCGGGCCUUGUACACACCGCCCGUCACACCAUGGGAGUGGGUUGCUACACAAGAAGUAGGUAGUCUUAACCUUCGGGAG
This 888-nucleotide ribosomal RNA is filed under the name Enterobacter cloacae. RNAcentral describes it as "bacterial SSU rRNA". It matches the Rfam family "Bacterial small subunit ribosomal RNA", at positions 565 to 1448 of the family's 1533-position model. Lineage: Bacteria; Pseudomonadati; Pseudomonadota; Gammaproteobacteria; Enterobacterales; Enterobacteriaceae. The record is from RNAcentral.